RNAcentral lists this ribosomal RNA (253 nucleotides) under uncultured bacterium. RNAcentral describes it as "partial 16S ribosomal RNA". It matches the Rfam family "Bacterial small subunit ribosomal RNA", at positions 524 to 776 of the family's 1533-position model. The record is from RNAcentral.
UACGUAGGUGGCAAGCGUUGUCCGGAUUUAUUGGGUUUAAAGGGUGCAUAGGCGGUCCUGUAAGUCAGUGGUGAAAUACGGCAGCUCAACUGUCGAGGUGCCAUUGAUACUGCGGGACUUGAGUACAGUCGAGGUAGGCGGAAUUGACGGUGUAGCGGUGAAAUGCUUAGAUAUCGUCAAGAACACCGAUAGCGAAGGCAGCUUACUAGGCUGUAACUGACGCUAAGGCACGAAGGUGCGGGGAUCAAACAGG